This is a non-coding RNA of Podarcis muralis (Common wall lizard), 430 nucleotides long. The record is from RefSeq and is a predicted model, not a curated record. Lineage: Eukaryota; Metazoa; Chordata; Lepidosauria; Squamata; Lacertidae.
AAACUGCACAUGAUGUAGUAGAACCAUGUGACUAGCUCUCUUGCCAAAUUUUUAUUUUGCUUGAAGCAGCCACUGGGGGAAGGAGUGUACCUUUUGCCCACCUCAGCCAUCAGGGUUUCUGGCUGUAGACUUGCUCUCCUGACACAUCAAAGCCAUGGACAGCUAUUCUUCUACAUGAUCUGACAAUUAUGUUCCUUGCCCAGUUUUCUGCUCUUUUUACCAUCGAACAGCCUGGAGCUCCAUGAAUCAUAAGCAACAGCAAUUCAGUGUGAAGAAUAAUAGAAGCUCUGUGAUCCAAAGUCUUCACUCUGAUCUCAACAGCCAAACUUAAUGCAAGGGAACAAAGUUCUGCAUUGACCGAUAUCUACCACCUUUGGGCCAAUACACAGCUUGAUGAAGCAUAUUAACCCAGUGAACAUUCCCUUCUCUU